Molecule: ribosomal RNA, 468 nt
Filed under: uncultured bacterium
Lineage: Bacteria
Description: partial 16S ribosomal RNA
Rfam family: Bacterial small subunit ribosomal RNA
Source: RNAcentral
GACGAACGCUGGCGGCGUGCUUAACACAUGCAAGUCGAACGGAAAGGCCCUGCUUUUGUGGGGUGCUCGAGUGGCGAACGGGCGAGUAACACGUGAGUAACCUGCCCUUGACUUUGGGAUAACUUCAGGAAACUGGGGCUAAUACCGGAUAGGAGCUCCUGCUGCAUGGUGGGGGUUGGAAAGUUUCGGCGGUUGGGGAUGGACUCGCGGCUUAUCAGCUUGUUGGUGGGGUAGUGGCUUACCAAGGCUUUGACGGGUAGCCGGCCUGAGAGGGUGACCGGCCACAUUGGGACUGAGAUACGGCGCAGACUCCUACGGGAGGCAGCAGUGGGGAAUAUUGCACAAUGGGCGGAAGCCUGAUGCAGCAACGCCGCGUGCGGGAUGACGGCCUUCGGGUUGUAAACCGCUUUCGCCUGUGACGAAGCGUGAGUGACGGUAAUGGGUAAAGAAGCACCGGCUAACUACGUG